This is a long non-coding RNA of Apodemus sylvaticus (European woodmouse), 475 nucleotides long. RefSeq lists it as uncharacterized. Lineage: Eukaryota; Metazoa; Chordata; Mammalia; Rodentia; Muridae. The record is from RefSeq and is a predicted model, not a curated record. The transcript is spliced from 4 exons.
CAAAUUGGAAGAGGAAGAGGAGCCAUGGACAGCAGAAGAACCUGCAAACAAGACUCUGCCAGUCUUCUGCGGUGUUGAUGCCAUAAUUGAGACUAAAUAGAAGAAUCAAGAGAGACAUUUGUGGCAAGUUACCUCCAAUGGCCACAAUAAAGCAAAUGAGGAAGCAGAGGGAUUAGAAAACACUUUUUAUUUAUACUCCAUGAAUAUUUCAAGUUCUGUUGCCUACAGUCAUCUCAAGUUCCACUUGAGCUGUAUCCUGGUUUCCAAGAUUAUUCCCAUGGCUCCUUCUACAGCCCAACCUGCAAAAGGCAUUUGGUUCCCUUCAGGCCAAAUGAUAACAGAAGAGGAAGAAAGAAUGCACAAAUAGAGGCUACAGGAGAUGGUGUCUCUUGAGGAUGUCACUGUGAAGUUCACCUGUGAAGAGUGGCAAAAUCUCAAUAAUGCUCAGAAGAUGCUAUACAGGAAUGUGAUAUUG